This 588-nucleotide long non-coding RNA is filed under the name Mytilus galloprovincialis (Mediterranean mussel). Lineage: Eukaryota; Metazoa; Mollusca; Bivalvia; Mytilida; Mytilidae. The record is from RNAcentral.
CUUUUUUCGUUUAAAUUCUUUGGAAUUUUCAUGGCGAGACAUUUUAUAGCUGAUUUUGUAAUUGUUGAAGGUAUAUUAUAAUUGCUUACAUCCACUUAUUUGACCACAUCUAAAAUUGCUUGCUUUAAUUAGAUAUAGGAAGAUGUGGUGUGAGUGCCAAUGAGACAAAUCUCCAUCCAAUGAAAUAACAAUUUUUAAAAAGUAAACCAUUAUAGGUCAAUGUACGGCCUUCAGCACGGAUCCUUGGCUCACACCGAACAACCAGCUAUAAAGGGUCCCAAAAUUACUAGUGUAAAACCAUUCAAACGGGAAAACCAACGGUCUAAUCUAUAUAAAAUUUAAAAAAAAAAACGAGAGACACGUAUAAAUUACAUAAACAAACGACAACUACUGUACAUCAGAUUCCUGACAUAGGACAGGUGCAAACGUUUGCAGCGGGAUUAAACGUUUUUCUGAAACAAUAGCAUAACAUCACAAAAUAGAAAAACACACGAUAAAAUAUCAAUUGGCAGGCUUAACUCAAUAAAAAAACGUACAUUAAUACACUAUAAACGAAUAAAUUUGAUCUGAGAUUUAAGACCCCCCCCC